This 253-nucleotide ribosomal RNA is filed under the name uncultured bacterium. Its description in RNAcentral is "partial 16S ribosomal RNA". It matches the Rfam family "Bacterial small subunit ribosomal RNA", at positions 524 to 776 of the family's 1533-position model. The record is from RNAcentral.
UACGGAGGGGGCGAGUGUUAUUCGGAAUCAUUGGGCGUAAAGGGCGCGUAGGCGGCCUAGCAAGUCAGGGGUGAAAUCCCGGGGCUCAACCUCGGAACUGCCUUUGAUACUGCAAGUCUAGAGUCCGGAAGAGGUGAGUGGAAUUCCUAGUGUAGAGGUGAAAUUCGUAGAUAUUAGGAAGAACACCAGUGGCGAAGGCGGCUCACUGGUCCGGUACUGACGCUGAGGUGCGAAAGCGUGGGGAGCAAACAGG